This 356-nucleotide long non-coding RNA is filed under the name Gadus morhua (Atlantic cod). Its description in RNAcentral is "lncRNA (ENSGMOG00000029669.1)". The record is from RNAcentral. Lineage: Eukaryota; Metazoa; Chordata; Actinopteri; Gadiformes; Gadidae.
GAGAUCAUUCCAAAUUACUAAUUAAUAACGUUUGUCUUAAUUCCUAUCUAGAACUGGACAACCUGGACAGCACGACCGUAUUAUUACAACCUGGACAGCACGACCGUAUAAUUAUAUUAUGGCUAUGUGAUUUAAUUUGGUUAGAGAUCAAUCCAAAAUACUAAUUAAUGACUUUGCUCUUUACAUUUUGCAGAUCUACUACCAAGCCCCUGAAAACGGAAACAGAGGACAAUAUCUACUACCAAGCCCCUGAAAACGGAAACAGAGGACAAUGUAAAUGGAGUGUAAAUAGAGUGAUGUGUUAAGAGUGAUGUGUUAAGCGUGAAUAAAAAAUGAAAAACAUUUCAUAUUGUAAU